This 513-nucleotide ribosomal RNA is filed under the name uncultured bacterium. RNAcentral describes it as "bacterial SSU rRNA". It matches the Rfam family "Bacterial small subunit ribosomal RNA", at positions 15 to 518 of the family's 1533-position model. The record is from RNAcentral.
GAUCAUGGCUCAGGAUGAACGCUAGCUACAGGCUUAACACAUGCAAGUCGAGGGGCAGCGGGGAAGUAGCUUGCUACUCUGCCGGCGACCGGCGCACGGGUGAGUAACACGUAUCCAACCUGCCGUCAGCUCGGGGAUAGCCCUCUGAAAGGAGGAUUAAUACCCGAUGCGAUUCUUGGGGGACAUCCCCCCUGAACCAAAGAUUCAUCGGCUGUCGAUGGGGAUGCGUAUGAUUAGCUUGUCGGCGGGUAACGGCCCACCGAGGCGACGAUCAUUAGGGGUUCUGAGAGGAAGGUCCCCCACAUAGGAACUGAGACACGGUCCUAACUCCUACGGGAGGCAGCAGUGAGGAAUAUUGGUCAAUGGUCGAGAGACUGAACCAGCCAAGUAGCGUGAAAGGAUGACUGCCCUACGGGUUGUAAACUUCUUUUAUGGGAGGAUAAAGUUCGGCACGCGUGCCGUUUUGCAGGUAUCCCAUGAAUAAGCAUCGGCUAAUUCCGUGCCAGCCGCUGC